This 407-nucleotide ribosomal RNA is filed under the name uncultured bacterium. RNAcentral describes it as "bacterial SSU rRNA". It matches the Rfam family "Bacterial small subunit ribosomal RNA", at positions 32 to 419 of the family's 1533-position model. The record is from RNAcentral.
AAUCAACGCUGGCGGCGUGCCUCAGACAUGCAAGUCGAACGCGAAAGUCCCCUUCGGGGGACAAGUAGAGUGGCGCACGGGUGAGUAACACGUAGGUAAUCUACCUUCGGAUGGGGAAUAACAACCGGAAACGGUUGCUAAUACCGCAUAAUGCAGCGGCACCUAAUGGUGACAGUUGUUAAAGCGGGGGAUUGAAAGACCUCGCGUCUGAAGAGGAGCCUGCGGCGGAUUAGCUUGNGGUAGGGUAACGGCCUACCAAGGCGACGAUCCGUAGCCGGCCUGAGAGGGCGGUCGGCCACACUGACACUGACAUACGGGUCAGACUCCUACGGGAGGCAGCAGUCGGGAAUUUUGGGCAAUGGGCGAAAGCCUGACCCAGCAACGCCGCGUGAAGGAUGAAAUCCCUC